This 820-nucleotide ribosomal RNA is filed under the name uncultured soil bacterium. RNAcentral describes it as "SSU rRNA". It matches the Rfam family "Bacterial small subunit ribosomal RNA", at positions 1 to 838 of the family's 1533-position model. The record is from RNAcentral.
UAGAGUUUGAUCCUGGCUCAGAAUCAACGCUGGCGGCGUGCCUAACACAUGCAAGUCGAGCGAGAAAGGGGGGGCAACUCCCUGAGUACAGCGGCGCACGGGUGAGUAACACGUGGGUAAUCUGCCCUGGAGUGGGGAAUAACACCGGGAAACCGGUGCUAAUACCGCAUACGAUAACGAGGUUUGCGGAUCUUGUUAUGAAAGGAGCAAUUCGCUCCAGGAGGAGCCCGCGGCUGAUUAGCAAGUUGGUGAGGUAAUGGCUCACCAAGGCAACGAUCAGUAUCCGGUCUGAGAGGACGGUCGGACACACUGGAACUGAGACACGGUCCAGACUCCUACGGGAGGCAGCAGUGGGGAAUUUUUGGCAAUGGGGGCAACCCUGACCAAGCAACGCCGCGUGGGUGAUGAAGUCUCUUGGGACGUAAAACCCUUUCGACGGGGAAGAAACCGCAAGGUUGACGGUACCCGUAGAAGAAGCCCCGGCUAACUCCGUGCCAGCAGCCGCGGUAAUACGGGGGGGGCAAGCGUUGUUCGGAAUUACUGGGCGUAAAGGGUGCGUAGGCGGUUCGCUAAGUCGGAUGUGAAAACUCUGGGCUCAACCCAGAGCCUGCAUCCAAAACUGGCGGGCUAGAGUUCUGGAGGGGGUAGCGGAAUUCCUGGUGUAGCGGUGAAAUGCGUAGAUAUCAGAAGGAACACCGGUGGCGAAGGCGGCUACCUGGACAGAAACUGACGCUGAAGCACAAAGCUAGGGAGCAACAGGAUUAGAUACCUGGUAGUCUAGCCUAAACGAUGAAUACUGGCUGACUGGGAUCGAAUCAGC